UGCAGAAUCCCGUGAACCAUCGAGUCUUUGAACGCAAGUUGCGCCCGAAGCCAUUUGGUUGAGGGCACGUCUGCCUGGGCGUCACGU
This 87-nucleotide ribosomal RNA is filed under the name Bergenia purpurascens. RNAcentral's name for it is "partial 5.8S ribosomal RNA". It matches the Rfam family "5.8S ribosomal RNA", at positions 73 to 154 of the family's 154-position model. Rfam says of the family: 5.8S ribosomal RNA (5.8S rRNA) is a component of the large subunit of the eukaryotic ribosome. Lineage: Eukaryota; Viridiplantae; Streptophyta; Magnoliopsida; Saxifragales; Saxifragaceae. The record is from RNAcentral.